Molecule: long non-coding RNA, 4461 nt
Organism: Neofelis nebulosa (Clouded leopard)
Lineage: Eukaryota; Metazoa; Chordata; Mammalia; Carnivora; Felidae
Exons: 4
Source: RefSeq, a predicted model, not a curated record
AGAAAGAAAAAAGGAAGAGUAGGGAGGACGUUGUCAGAAACACAAGGCUCUCGGCUCAUUCUGGAGCCAGAUCCUCUCAGCCCAACUCUGCUCUAUCAGUCUUCUGGCCCGGAGGGUGACACCCACAGCCUGUUUAUCAGAGCCAAGCAGCCAUGACACAUCCAGGCCUUUGCCAGGCAGCAUCCUGAUGUAGGUAUCAAAGUCCAGCCCUCCAGCGCUGUGUUGCAUAGACCCAGCUGAGACCAGAGCUCCAGAAGACACCAGCAGGGUUUCCCUGGCCACGGAGAGUUUGGCUCAGGACCUGCCUGCCUCUCUGCUCGGUAGGCAACGGGCUCUGAGCAGGCAUCCCGGCCCGAGGGAUGGGCUGGUUGUUCCAUGACGCCUAUUUCAGCUAAGGAGGCUGGGUCGACAGGUGUAACCGGGUUUUCCCCCAGUGCCCACCCUUUCCUAGCAGACAAUCAGAGGGAGAGAAGACCACAUUUUGGAUUUCUCUGGGGGAAGGAAAUUAGAAGCCAACAGGUCUCUCUCCCUGGGAGAGUGGAGGCACCCGCCAGGGUUCCCAGGAAACUGCCAGCUCAGCCUACCUGACAAAUAACCUCUCCUGACAAGUGGCCAGUUGACUCAAAACAGCAGCGCCGCUGACGAAAAACAAACCAAUAGCAGUUUGAGACGAGGGGUGUUCCAGGUACACGCGCAAGACGCAGCUUCUCCUCCCCACACGAAGUGGUAGGGAAAUACUCAGAACAAAUUUACCUUGGAGCAGCAAGACUGUGCUUGCUUCAGCCCUGUCUUCACCUGGAUUACUCAUGGUGAUCGCGGGAGGCCCUGCCUGCAGAGCCAUGAAUCAGAUUCAACUAAUGUUCACGAGUGCCUGCCCUGUGCUGGACACUUUGCUGACUGUUCCUAUUACUUCAUUUGAUUCCUGCUUCUCCUUCAGAAGAGUCUAACUGGUCUCAUUUUACAGACACCUGGAGAAACGAAGAGCCUUACCUACGACCUCCUAAGUGUUGAGUGAGGAGCUGGGUUUCUGGCGUGGUUGUCUGGGUUUCUUUUCUGAUAUCACGGCCUGUGUUGCUUCUACCGACCCUUGUCUCCAUGUUAUCAGAGUCAGUGAAACCCACCAACACUUAGAUGUUAAGUAGCAAUGAGGGUAAGAAAAAAAAUACUCUUCUUUGCUAACUUCAAUUUUAUAAACAAAAAGCAGGCAGUUGAUAAUAGAGAACAGAGCAACCCAUAAUUUGAGUAGUCAUGAAUCAUGAUCUUGUUUAAACCCAUGUCUUUAUGUGUGUGUGUGUGUGUGUGUGUGUGUGUGUGUGUAUGUGUGUGUGUUCAAUUUUUUACAGUGUAAACAAGAUCUCCAUGUUAUAGAAAGGUGUGAAAGGUGAACACAGCAGAUUUGAAUUACAGAGUAUAUAGGUGUGGGCUGUCCCCCAGCUCAUGGGAUUUCAUCGAAAGUCCUAUGUAGCAUGUGUCCAAAGACAACAGUGUCUCGGCAGAAGCCAUGUCACAUUGGUGAUAUCAGGGAGUCACGCACCCAUGUGGGACCUAAAGAUAAGAAAUAUUCCCACAUAGUCUGUUCCAGUCAAUACAAUAUGUGCCAGCUUCACAUGAAAUGUCCUUUUGGCAAAUACAAAGGUUCUCUUAGGGAAACAUAGGAUAGACCCAUGCUGUUAUUUUUAUCUAACAUUAAAAUAGUCAAGUGCAUUAUUAAAGAACAAAAAUCAAUUAUCCCUAAUACAUCACCCUACUAAUAAGGCUAAUUUCACUUUUGUGUAGACCUUCCUGAGGACAUCACUGUCUUUAGAAUGCAUCAUUUUGGCUCCUGUGGUCUCUUGGCAAGUGACAAUUUGCAAGAGUUGGAAUAACCUAGUUUUGCAUUUUAUUUUGCAAGACUAUGGCCCUCAGGAGCAUGAUUGCAUGGUGUUUGUCUGUCCUUUUAUGUACUCCCUGAUGGUGUUUGGGUGUUCAAACAAACAUACUAAGAACAAAGUAAGUGUGCUAAGGAAGACCAUCUCUCCGCCACCUGGCUCACCCCAGUCAUUUCUGGUACAAAAGGAAGAACCCAGGGAAUGCUUCCUGAUUAUACAUUUUCAGUUUCUUAAGCAACUGCAAGAGGAAGGCUGGGACUAGGCCUUAUUUCCUCUGAUGCAGUGUGUUUAUCAGCCCACUGCCCCUAUCACAAUUCAGCUUCUAGUUUUUCCAUUUUUAAUAAAUUCCUCUUUUCUUAAAAAAAAAAAAAAGUCACACCAAAAACUGCACAUUCAAUGCUGCCAGUAAAAUCAGUGAGAAAGGAGAAAGAUAGAGGAUCUCUUCCACCAUUCUUGGGGCUUCCUUUACUAUAGGUCAACCCUUCAAAUAUGGCUUUUCUUGGCCCAUGAGGGAGGACAGAGACGUGGCUUCAAGGGGUCAGCACAAUGACCGUAAAGCAGCAGGACUUGUCACGUUCCUCUAUCACUCCCUCCUCUUCUCCAGCAAUUCCUUCUCUCCUCUUUCUCUCUCCUUGCCCCUUGCUCUUACUCUCCCUCCACCCCUUUUAUCUGGACAGGUUUUUAAGGUGGUGAGAAUAUUAUGUUUAAGGAAAUCAUUCUGAGUGUUCUGAUGACCUCAGAGGAAGGUUCGUUGGCUUUCCUAGUUCUCUGAUGACUAAUUUCUUCUCUGGGAGGAAACCAUUCGUCAGUCAGGCAAAUUAGCUCUCCUCCAGUGCAGUGACCAUCUGCUGGUCUUCGAGAUGUAAGAGACUCAUGAGGUGCUUUUUUCAAGAUGAAGGCUGAGAAUCUGUGUCGGCUCCUCUCUGGAAGGAAAUAGAAGCAUCUCUGCCCAGGCCGCUGCUCCUGGACAAGGAGAGAGCGGGAUGAGUGUGAGGAGCUGACAGGGCAGUCAAGGCCUUCUUUACGCUGCCCCAAAUUGCCUUUUCAGCCUUGUCUUCUAAAACUCCCUGACCUGUAUGUAGCCUUCUCUCAAGAUAAAUUGAUCUUUCUUCUCUGUUCGUAAAAGGGCAUGCCUCAGACCUUAGCUUGUUUGCCCUUCCCAUGGCCUACAGCACCAUCCCACACCUGAACCACGAUUGGCACACAAGGGAGGGUCAGCUGCCCCCUGCUGCCACCUCCUGUGUGAAAAAAAUGCAUCUGUCCUUUAGUGGUCCAGGCCCAGGCCCAUCCUUCCUCUGCUUCCCUUGAGGAGUUCGGGUUGUUCCAUCCCUCCCUUUCUCCUCCCGACACCUAUAGGAGUCAGGCGAGAAUUAAUCUCCAUCACAAAAACACACUGGAAGGGCGUCUGGGUGGCACAGUUGGUGGAGCAUCAGACUCUUGGUUUGGGCUCAGGUCCUGAUCUCGUGGGUGGUGGGUUUGAGCCCUGUGCCCAGCUCCAUGCUGGCAGCACAGAGCCUGCUUGGGAUUCUUUCUCUCAUCCCCUCAUCCCUCCUCUCUCUCUCUCUCUCUGCCCCCUCGUGUGCAUGUGUGCACACUCUUUCUCUCUCUCUCAAAAUAAAUAAACUUAAAAAAAAGAAAACAAAAAAGAGAAAACACACUGGAGCUGAAACUGGAUAUGAUGCUUUUGAUAAAAUUUACCAGGCUUUGAAAAAGCGUGUGUAUGUGUGUGUAUGUGUGUAUGUGUUUGUGUCUUAGAGAGCUAAAGGCAGAUAACAUGGCUGAGAGGGUGGUGAACAGAGGUGAUAAACACAGAGAGGGGCGCCUGGGUGGCUCAGUCAGUUAAGUGUCUGACUUCGGUUCAGGUCAUGGUCCCACGGUUCGUGGGUUCGAGCCCCUCCCCUGCUUUCACUCCCCAUAAAUAAACAUUAAAAAAUUUUUUUUAAAAACCACAGAGAGAAUAAUUAAGUGAGGUGAUGAACAUAAAAUAUCACCUUCUGGUCCUAAUCACAUAUCCUACAGAACCCAUUUCCACGAGCUUUCUCACACAGCUGUGUUAAUUUUCCACUCUCUCCACUUUGGCCUUCAUCCUGUAACUGUCAGUCUUAUAAAGGCUAGAUACACACCAAGACUUCCCAAACUCCAGUUCAAUAUUUAAAAAACAUCUCUUCAAUUUGGAGAGAUCACCACCUCUCUCUCUCUCUCUCUCUCUCUUUCUCCCCAAAAUGACAAAAUGUCCCCUAAAUUGCAUUUAACCUCCUAAGUGUUGCUUUGGGCUCCUCCUGUAUGCUCUUGACCAAAACAAAAAACUGAAUAGUUUAUAAUCUCCCUUCCCUUCUCCAGCCCUUUCCUGAAAGUUCUAACUUGGUAUGAAAACAAUUUCAGACAGUCUCCAUCUCAUCCUGCAGUUUGCAUGUACACCAAAACCUUUGACACAGCAAACAAAGCCUCCAAGAACCUUCACUUUCUAAUCAUGUAUGUGCAUACUCUUAGAAUGUUGUAAUAAAAUACUCUGUAAAUAAAAUGUGGGCAUUAAAAAAGCAAUUGUGAAUACCUGAGUUGGCAACUAUAAUAAAGGCAUAUUUGUGAAAGAUAA